GUACGCUGGCGGCACGCCUAACACAUGCAAGUCGAACGAAGUAGCAAUACUUAGUGGCAGACGGGUGAGUAACAUGUAGGUAUCUGCCCUUUGGCCUGGAAUAACACGAGGAAACUUGUGCUAAUACCGGAUAAGUCUUUACGGAGAAAGCUUUAUGCACCAUUGGAUGAGCCUGCACUUGAUUAGUUUGUUGGUGGGGUAAUGGCCUACCAAGACUGUAAUCAAUAGCUGAUUUGAGAGGAUGAUCAGCCACAUUGGGACUGAGACACGGCCCAAACUCCUACGGGAGGCAGCAGUGGGGAAUCUUGCACAAUGGAGGAAACUCUGAUGCAGCGAUGCCGCGUGAGUGAAGAAGGCCCUUGGGUUGUAAAGCUCUUUCGUCGGGGAAGAAAAUGACUGUACCCGAAUAAGAAGGUCCGGCUAA
RNAcentral lists this ribosomal RNA (424 nucleotides) under uncultured bacterium. RNAcentral describes it as "bacterial SSU rRNA". It matches the Rfam family "Bacterial small subunit ribosomal RNA", at positions 31 to 500 of the family's 1533-position model. The record is from RNAcentral.